Molecule: long non-coding RNA, 32103 nt
Filed under: Lathyrus oleraceus (garden pea)
Lineage: Eukaryota; Viridiplantae; Streptophyta; Magnoliopsida; Fabales; Fabaceae
Description: Pisum sativum (pea) long non-coding RNA (PSAT_LNC030658)
Source: RNAcentral
AAAAAAAAAUCUCAUAAGAUAUCAUAUUUUUAUUAAAUUAAUCUUACUAAUGUGUUAGUAAUAGUGUAUAUAACUAAACGAGUACACAUGUAUUGUUGAUAUUAAAUAUGAAAUUCAUCAACUCCUAUCUUACGGUGACAAUCGAAGAAUUAUGAAACUCAAGUACCGUUCACCGUGGAUUGACAAUUGAGAGAAAAUUGAGUUCAACAACUUUGAAUUCAAGACGACCGCAGAUGUAAGGAUUAUGUGAAAUAUGUAUUUCUAUUUCAAAAUAAAAGUUUCGCUCGAGUUGGAAGCAACGAUUUCAAGAUCGAUCGAAGAUAUUGUGAAAAUGUUGUGAAGCGUCCACUUGGAUAUUGAUUUUGAAGUGUAAUGUUGCAUUUUAUAUUGAAAUCAUCUAUGUAAUACUUUUUUUAUUCUAUGAAUGCUAAUUUCAUUUUGGAAAAUUACAUGUUUUUGAUGUCUGCUUCUGCUACUGCUGUUUAUACAUUAUGGAAAUUCAUCUACACAAACUUUUGGAGAUGCAUCUCUGGUAUUAAAAUAGGGUAGAUGGUGAAGGCAACGCAUGCAGAAGACAAGGUAAGUGUACUGAUCACGUAAAGAACCUGCAGGAUUCCAUGCAGAGACAAGACAAGGCAAACGCCCUUACCAAUAGUGCAUGCAAGAUUCUUCUGCCCUAAUAAGCCAAAGCAUAUGUCUGUAUGAUUCUCUGCAAAGAUGUUUCUGCCCUAACAAGACAAGGAAAACACCCUUAUCAAUGGCGCAUAAAGCAACCCAUGUGCCCUCUUCAUUGGUGCAUACUCUCAUGCAUGCUUAAACACAAGGCAUGCGCCCUUCCCAUUGGCGCCUACACUUAUAAUUCACAUGCUGCAACUUGCCAACCUAUCUCAUCUAUAAAUAUUGCAACAACUCACAGCAUUCAACAUCUACAACACUCAAUAUCUACAACAUUAAAUACCCGCAACACUCAACCUCUACAACACUUAACCUUGAAGGUAGAGAAAAACAAGAAAAGGGAUUUGAAUUGUUUUAGAAAAUAAAAACUUUUACAUAAUUUAGACACACACAAAAUAAAAUUGUGACACGGAAUUUUAUACUGAUUCGCUUGAAAUUCAAAGUUACUCCAGUCCACCCGGCCAAGGUGAUUUCGCCUUCAAAAAGGACUUAAUCCACUAAUCUGAAAGAUUACACAAACAAUUAUCUAAGAGAAUAAUUCCUUAGCCCUCUCAAGUAUUCAGACUGCACAUAGUCACUUGAGGAAAUAUCUUAGCAAAAAUAUAUGAUUUGUAAUACAACGUGCUUCUAACAAAAAGCAAAUAUUACAGAGUUACAAGAGCAACAGUUUUUCACGUAAGAGCAGCAGCUCGUGAAAAUGUAAGAGAGGAUGAAUGAGAGUUGUUGUAUUCUUGUGUGUCUCAGGUGUGUUCUCUUGUGAAGUAUUACGUCUGUUAUAUAGGCGUUGAGAAGAAAUGUUGGAGUGACGACAGAAUCUUGGCGAUUGAAGAAUGUUUAUUGUCAUUACUCUCCUUGUUUCUUUCUAAAACCGUUGUGUGCGCGUCAUAAUUUCCUUCUAGAAAUAAUUUCUUUCCAAAACCAGAUUUCUUUAUGGUUACGCGUUAUGAACUGGUGACUCUAUAUCGGAGUCUUGGCAAGUCAUAGUUUAACUUCAGGGGUUUCUUUUAUCUGACCACAUCAGAGUUUCUCUAUGAUAUUGACUUCUUCAGAUUCAGAGUCUGGAUUCAGUCUUCUUUACUAGAGUUUCUGACUUCUUUCUGUUUUGCUGGUACCUGCAUUGUUCCGAGUCAGAACCUUCUGGACGCGUUUCCUUUGAGCAGCAUUCGAUUGUUAGAUUUUAUAUCUGAUGAUUUUAUAUAUCUGAUUGUUUGAUCAGAGUCCUGCACACUUAAGAAAAAUUUCGUUAGAGUACCAUUUUUGUUUCAUCCUUUGUUAUCAUCAAAAUCUUAGAGAUACAUUGUAGAACCAACUUUAUUCUUACAAUCUCCCCCUUUUUGAUGAUGACAAAACAAUACAGAAUAAAGGUGAAACAGUAAAAAAAUUCUCAUAUCAGAUAGGAAAGGGGACUCCCCCUGAGUUAGAUCCUUAGAUUAACCAGAAGUUUUUACCGGAGCUUCCUUGGUUUAGUGUUUUAGCUACUUUCCUGCAUAUCUUUAGUCAUUGAUUUAAUAAUAAUUUAUAAUAAUGUUUGCAGUGCUUUGAGGAGAUUUAGUUAUGUUUCCAUCAGAGUUGUUUUAGUUCUCCCCCUUUUUGUCAGAAUUAAAAAGACAUAGCAAAAAGUUGAUAUUGAUAAAAAGAGCAAUUACAGAUAAGCAGCACAUAAGGCAGAUAUCAGAAGAAGAAAAAAAGAAACAUCAAAACAGAGAAAGCAACAAACAAUUAGCCUAGGUGCCUAAGGGUUUGGGGGUGGAGGCAUCCUUUGGAGCAGCUGGGACAGCAUGUUCUGAAUGUUGAUAUUGACAGAAUCCUGUUGAUCCAGCCUAGCCUGAACUACUUAUUAUUCUUUCUGCAGUUCCUCUAGAGUCUUCAAGACCAGAGGGACGAACCCAGAGUUGGAGUGCUCCCCCUGAGUCAGUGUAUCAACUUUGGCCUUGGCAGCUUCUUUUGUAGCAAUAUGAGCUGUUUCUUCAGCUUCGGCUUUAGCUUUUGCCUCAGCCUCAGCAGCAGCUGCAGCAACAGCAACAUCAGCAACAACCUUCUCUUCAGCUUCUCUGCUGUUCUUCUUCUUGGUGUGCUUUCUCUUCAGCUUCCUUCCUAGCCUGUUCCUCAGCCUCUCUGGUCAAGUGUUCUUGGAGCCUAAUACCAGCGUCUCUGAUAAAGUUGUUGCGGACUUGUUCAGAGAGGCCUUUCAGUUUGAAGGCUUCAGAGGUCAUCCAACUUAUCACUCUGUUCCAAUGGAUCCUUACUUCAGAGGGAUCAUCACUAAUGCCAGAAUUGAUAGUCAAAGACUUGACAUUCUCUACUGAAGACUUUGCAAAAACUUGUAUUGCUUCUUCUAGGAUAGGGAGGGUAGUCUCUGGUUCAGUGGCAGAGGCUAGGGAGGAUGGAGAAGGUGAGUUUGGGGCAUUGAGAUUUAGUGUGGGAAUUAUGGAGGCAACAGAAGUUAUGGUGUGGGAACGGCAGAAGGUGACUAUGUUGUUUGUUCAGGUUGUGGGGUUGGUUCAGAUGGUGAGGGGGUAGGUUGCGGUUCAAAGUAGAUUGGUUGUUCAGGAGGUGGAUUUGGUUGUUGUGCAAGUGGUGGUGUUUGAGGUUGUUCAUAUGUAGUUGGAUUUGGAUGCUCAUGAGGUGGGGAAGUGACUUCUGGUUCAGGUUCAGAGUGUGAUGGCUGUUGAGAGGCCAGAGCACGGGCUUGUAGCUGAGCCAGAAUGGCAGAUUGAGGGUCAUAUGGUUCGUUGUUGGAGGAGAGUAUGUAGUAUGGUGGGGAUUGUGGAGAUGGUGAUGAUGAUGGUGAAGUAGUUUCAUUCAGCAUUUCUGCUUCAGAAACGGGUAGUGUGGUGGUAGCGAUGUUGAAUUUAAGUGAGGGUGGGUUAGAGGAUCUGGUGGUUGAGGGAAGAGUUUCAGAGGAGGUGUAUAUGGGAGUGGUUUGGGGAAGAGAAAAAGCAAUUGGUUUUAUUUUAACAGGGCGAGAGAGAGGUACAAACUUACUUGGAGAGCCAGCCAAAGGUGCUGGAGGUCUUCACCCAGAGGAUUCUCCCAGUCUUGCUUUCUUAGCCUUUUUGAACUUCUUAGAGGGAUCUCGCAUCCUCUUUAUGAAGUUUGGUGGAUGCUCGGGUAGCCAGUCCACUAUGAAGUCAGAGAUGUCUACCCCUUGAUUGGCAAUGUCCUAUAGAUAGUAGGCUACUACCUCUGGAGGGUCAAUCUUGGAGAACAGGUAGAGUUCGUUGGGAAUCUCCCUCUGAUCCUUGAGUUCUUCCCAGGAGGUGUCAAGAGUUGGUUUGGCUAUGACUUGAUCAAUGAUUCCCAUGCUCUUUAGAUUUCGAGCAUUCAGCAGUCUACCAAUGUCAAUAGUGACAUCUUCCAUGAGUCUGAGCUGAAUCAAAUGAUCCACUAAGCCACUCUCAAUCAACACAUCUGAUAUGAGUCUCCCUAGAGGGAUAUAGUUCAUGGUCUUCAUGUUGUUUCUGGUGUCUUUGACUGAGUCUUUGAGGUACUUGAAGAACAAGGCUGGUAAACAGAGUUUCAGCCCCUUGUGAAUGCAGUACAAGAUACACUUCUGAUCUAUGUUGAUGUAGUCAGAAGAGUUUGAUGCAGGGUGAUGAUGAAUGGUUCCUAAGAUGAUCUUCAACCAGACACGAAGGUUCUGAUAUAACUCAUUGUUCUUGGAAUACUUGCCUUUAACACUCUGUUGGAAGAUGGUAGGGUUGAUUUCCUGGGACAAGUAUUUUGCCAUAGGGUUUAUGUUAUAGAUGCGUCAUCCUCCUGUCUUCUCCAUGUUCAGAAGAGAAGCAAUGGAUUUCUUGGUGAUGACUAUCUUGACUCCCAGAAUGUAGGAGACAGUGUAGUGAUCAUUUGAGUAUGCGAAACGCCAGAACCCUUUCACCAGAUUUGUAUACACAGGGCCAUAGAGGCGUUGAAAAUAGGUUUCUCACCCUUGCAUUCUCAACUCUUCAGUUAGGUCUACGCCAUUUUUCUUCAUGUUUACAAAGUCCACUAGCGACUCACAUAGAACUUCCAGUUUUUCAAAUGGUGUUGCUAGGUGGAUGUGAGGCUCACGAUCGAUGAUAUGGGGUUCCCUGUAGAUUGAGCUUGAGACAAUGCCGAUGGUUGUUGUGGUUUGUUGACUUGAAAUGGGUGUUUGCUCCGUUGAAUUCAUUUGUUGGGAGAAGUUGUAAAUUGAUUGUUAUUGAUAAUCCAUGAAGAACACAGUUGAAGAUGAAGGUUGCUGGAUGAAGAACUUAAUGAAAACUGCAAAAAUCUUGAGGAUGAUGAAGAACUGAGAGAGAGAGGGUUUAGUGUGGUCGUGAGUGUAAAGUGUGCAAAUGUAGUAUGUGAAAUGAAUUUAUACACAUUAUGAUGCAUGCAAAACGACAGUAAUGAGGGAGUUUAACUGUUCAGACAUUAAAUGUAGCAUGUUAACCAAGUAAGGACGUUUGGAGGAGAAUGAUUACAGCCCAUGAUGGAGGUCUAAUCCCCAAAUCAGUAUACUACUCGAGGAGAUUUCAAGAGUCUGUCGCUUGAUUUCUGUUAGACAGCUGUCUAGAAGUUCCAAGGUCAGACGCAAGAUGUACCACGUGUUACUUUAUCUGAUCUUCAGGAAUACCAAAGGGUUGGAUCCUGAUGAUUUCUGAAUCAGAUAGCUUCUAACUGGUAGUAGCAUCAGAGUCAGAUACAGAUUGCAGGUGUUUACUUCAGAGUCUUAUUUUGCUAUUUCAAAGGCACAUUUCAUUUUGGACAAUUUUUAAUGUUUAAAAUUUUCAAGAUAAAAGAGAAUCUAUCUUCAGCGAGGGGUUUGGUAAAAAUGUCAGCCCAUUGAUGGUCUGUAUCAAUAAAUUUUAAAGUAAUUACCCCUUUCUGAACAUAGUCUCUAAUGAAAUGAUGGUUUAUUUCUAUGUGCUUAGCUAUGGAAUGCAAAAUAAGAUUCUUACUUAAACAGAUGGCAGCAGUAUUAUCACAGAAAAUAGGAACGUUACUCUCAAAGAUCAGAAGGUCUUCGAGUUGAUUCUUCAUCCAGAGCAUCUGAGUAAUGCAGAGUGACGCUGAUAUAUAUUCUGCUUCUGCAGUGGAUAGAGCUAUGGUUGAUUGCCUUUUACUGGCCCAAGAUAUAAGAUUAUUUCCCAAGAACUGAUAGUUCUCAGAUGUACUUUUACGUUCCAUUAUGUCCCCUACCUAAUCUACAUCACAGUAACCAGAGAGUCUAUACUCUGAUGUUUUCUCAUACAUCAGGCCCAGGUUAGGGGUUCCUUUCAGAUACCUGAGGAUUCUUUUAACAGCUAUUAAAUGAGAUUCUCUAUGAUCUGAUUGGAAUCUGGCAUAGAGGCAUACACUAAACAGAAUAUCAGGACAUGUAGCUGUCAGAUAGAGAAGAGAGCAUAUCAUACCACGAUAGAGCUUCUGACAAACCUUCUGACUAAUUUCUUCUUUUUCUAGAAUGCAAGUUGGAUGCAUAAGUGUCUUAGCAGGUUUGCAUUCAGCCAUUUCGAACUUCUUCAGAAUGUCUUUUAUGUAUUUACUUUGAUAAACGUAGGUAGCUUCUGAAGCUUGAUUGAUUUGAAUCCCUAUAAAGAACUUUAGUUCUUGCGUUAAGCUCAUUUCAAAUUCUGCCUGCAUUAGCUCAGAGAAUUCUUGACAUACAUAAGGGUUAGCUGAUCCAAAAAUAAUGUCAUCAACAUAUAUCUGGCAUAUCAUGAGAUCAUUUCUAAUGUUUUUACAGAAGAGUGUAGAGUCAACCUUUCCUCUAAUAAAGUCAUGUUCUAGAAGAAAGUUGCUUAGUCUUUCAUACCAAGGUCUAGGUGCUUGUUUUAAACCGUACAGUGAUUUCUUAAGUUUAAAAACGUGUUCUGGACAUUUAGAGUUUUCAAAACCUGGAGGUUGAUUGACAUAAACUUCUUCUGAUAUAUAACCAUUAAGAAAUGCACUAUUGACAUCCAUUUGAUAUAGUUUGAUUGAAUGAUUUACAUCAAAUGAAACAAGUAAGCGAAUAGAUUCUAACCUGGCGACUGGGGAAAAGGUUUCGUUGUAGUCAAUGCCUUCUUGUUGACUAUACCCCUGUGCCACCAGUCGUGUUUUAUUUCUGACAACUUCUCCUUUUUUGUUCAGUUUGUUUCUGAACACCCAUCUGGUUCCAAUAAUGUGAGUUCCUUUAGGUUUUGGAACAAGAUCCCAAACAUCAUUCUUUGAGAAUUGAUCUAGCUCUUCUUUCAUAGCCAGAACCCAGUCAUUGUCUUGAAGUGCCUCAUCACAGGAAGUAGGUUCGAUUAGAGAUACUAAUCCUAGAGGAGUUUCUUUAGAUACUUUGAAUGUUGACCUAGUUCUGACAGGUUCAUCCUUGUUUCCCAAAAUCAAAUCUUUAGAGAUGUUGGGGUGACUCCUUGAUUUCUUAUGGAUGGUUGAGGCUUCAGAUUCAUUUGGCUUUUGUCUUUAAGAUACUUCUGGUGUUUUAGUCUUUUCGUCAUAACAUGCAAGAGUAAUCUCCAAAUCUGCAAGUUUCUCAACUAGCUUUGACUUUUCAGGGUCAAGCUUAUCAUCAAAUCUAACAUGGAUUGAUUCUUCCAUAAUUUUGGUUUAUGUGUUGUAUACUUUGUAGCCUUUAGAGCGUUCUGAGUAUCCUAACAUAAUACCUUUUUGUGCUUUUGAAUCAAACUUAUUCAGAUGUUCUUUAGUAUUGAGAAUAAAACAGGAGCAUCCAAAAGGAUGGAAAUAAGAAAUGUUGGGUUUUCUUCCCUUACACAAUUCAUAGGGAGUCUUCUCCAAAAUAGGUCUUAUAGAGAUUCUAUUCUGAAUAUAACACAAUGUAUUUACUACUUCAACCCAAAAGUGCUUAGCCAUAUUUGUUUCAUUGAUCAUGGUUCUAGCCAUCUCUUUGAGUGUCCUAUUCUUCCUCUCUACAACUCCGUUUUGUUAUGGAGUUUUAGGACAGGUGAAAUCAUGGGAUAUUCCAUUAGAAUCAAAUAGUUCCUCAAAAAAUUUAUUUUCAAAUUCGCCACCAUGAUCACUUCUGACUCUGAUGAUUUUAGAGUCAAACUCGUUUUGCACUUUGGAACAGAAGCUAGUGAAUACAAAGUGAGACUCACUCUUGUGCUUUAGGAAUUUUACCCAUGUCCAGCAACUAAAGUCAUCAAUAAUAACUAGUCCAUAUUUCUUUCCAUUGACUGACGCUGUCUUAACAGGCCCAAACAGGUCAAUGUGACGAAGUUCCAGAGGCUUAGAGGUAUAAACACUAUUUUUCUUUUUAAAAGAUGUUUUUGAAAAUUUACCUUUUUGACAUGCCUCACAUAAAGCUUCUGAAGAAUACUUCAGUUUAGGCAGGCCUCUGACUAACUCGAGUUUAUUUAACUGAGAGAGUUUUCUCAUGCUAAUGUGGCCCAAGCGUCUAUGCCUUACCCAUUGCUCUUCAUGAACAAACAUCAGGCAUUUUAUGUUUUGUUCUUUUAGGUCUGAAAGAUUUAUCUUGUAAAUAUUGUUUUUCCUCUUGCCAAUGAAUAGGAUUGUUCCAUUAUUCUGAUUAAUUGCUUUACAUGUUUUUCGAUUGAAGAUUACAUCAUAAUCGUUAUCACUUAAUUGAUUUAUUGAUAAAAGGUUAUGCAUUAAUCCUUCUACAUAGAGAACAUCAGAUAUAGAGGGAAGAGUUCCAUUACCAAUAGUUCUGGAGCCUUUGAUUCUUCCUUUCUGAUUUCCUCCGAAACCUACAAAGCCAACAUCUUUAAGUUCCAGGCUUUGGAACAUAUGUUUUCUUCCCGUCAUGUGUCGUAAGCAUCCAGAGUCCAGGUACCAUGAUUGGUGUCUUAACUCUGAUGCAUAAGAUAUUUGUAACAUGCACAAUCUCAUCCUUUGGUACCCAAAAUCUUCUGGGUCCUUUGUGAUUAGUUUUCCCAGAGUUUCUUAGAACUUUGGGUUAUCUAGCAUUAUUAAAAUAUUGUGCUUGUGUAUGUGUGUAAUGAUAAGAAAAGGGAGAUUUUGGUUUGUCAUUUGUAGAAGACUUUUCUUCACUUGGGACAUACCCUAUUCCUCUUUUAUUAUUCUGACUGACUCCGUAAAUCAUGGAUGUCAUUCUACUUCUCUCUAUCCCAUUUUUCAGAAACUUUUGAAAAGAUUUUUCAUAUUCAUAUAUUACUGUGUUCAAAGUUUGUGGGGCUUGAGAUAACGUUUUUUCAAGUUUUGAACAUUGUUUGUUUGUGGAGUCUCUUUCUAGUAUCAAGGUUCAGUUUUCAUCUUUUAGUUCUGAAACUGUCAUCUCAAGCUUAUCACAUUCUUCGAUGGUUCCUUCAAGAACCUAUUUUAAAGCUUUAAAUUUUUGUUUAAGUUUCUGAUAUGAGUUUAGAGUUUCAGAAAGACAUGAUUCAAGGUCAGAGCGAGAAAGAUCAGAAAAUACAUCUUCAGAGUCAGAUUCUCCAUAUGAUGUAUUUCUGGAGGUGGUAGCCAUGAGUGCAAUAUUUGCCUGUUCUUCAGAGUCUGAUUCAGAGGAAUCAUAUCCACUGUCGUCCCAGGUGGCCAUCAGUCCCUUUUUGGUUUUGAAUGAGCUUUUCUUGAAACCUUCUCUUCUGGAGCUUUCUUUCUUCAGCUUGGGACAUUCGUUUCUGUAAUGACAUGUUUCCUUGCAUUCAUAGCAUGUUAUAUCUUUGUUUAACUUACCUCUGGAAGUUGAUUCUGAGCGAUCUCCCUUGGAUCUUGGUCUUCUGAAUUUAUUAUUCCUUUUUCUCCAUAGUUGUUUUACUCUUCUGGUUAAAAGGGAUACUUCUUCUUCGUCGUCAAAGUCUUCCUUCUCAGAGUCGCCAUUAUCUUCCUCUUCAGCUUGGAAGUUGAUUCUGAGCGAUCUCCCUUGGAUCUUGGUCUUCUGAAUUUAUUAUUCCUUUUUCUCCAUAGUUGUUUUACUUUUCUGGUUAAAAGGGAUACUUCUUCUUCGUUGUCAGAGUCUUCCUUCUCAAAGUCGCCAUUGUCUUCCUCUUCAGCUUGGAAGGAUUUUUUUCUUUCUGGUUUGCGUCUUUCAGAUCUGGACUUUAGUGCUACAGACUUGAUCUUCUUUUGAGGUUCAUCUUCCUCCAGUUCUAUCUCGUGGCUUCUGAGUGAACUGACGAGUUCUUCAAGGCUGAUGUUAUUCAGAUCUUUUAAUAACUUUAGAGCUGUGACCAUGGGUCUCCAUUUCUUUGGCAAGCUUCUAAUAAUCUUUUUGACAUGAUUUGCAGUUAUGUAGCCUUUGUCCAACAUUUUUAGUCCUAUAAUUAAAGUUUGAAAUCUAGAAAAAAUUACCUUUACAGCUUCAUCGUCCUCCAUUUUGAAGGCUUCAUAUUUCUGAAUUAGAGCCAGAGCCUUUGUCUCUUUGACUUGAGAAUUUCCUUCGUGAGUCAUCCUCAGGGAGUCAAGUAUUUCUUUAGUUGUUAUUUUGAAGGCUUCAUAUUUCUGAAUUAGAGCCAGAGCCUUUGUCUCUUUGACUUGAGAAUUUCCUUCGUGAGUCAUCCUCAGGGAGUCAAGUAUUUCUUUAGUUGUUUCCCUGUUGGUGAUCUUUUCGUAUUCAUUGUAGGAAAUGGCAUUUAGUAGUAUCGUUCUGGCUUUGUGAUAGUUUUUGAAUUCACGCUUCUGAUCAUCUGUCAUUCUACUUCUGGGAAUGGCAACUCCAGCGUCAGUCACAGGUGGUGUAUAGCCAAUUAUGACUAUAUCCUAUAGAUCAGCGUCGUAGCCCAGAAAGAAACUUUAAAUUCUGUCUUUCCAAUAAUCAAAUUUUUCUCCAUCAAAGAUUAGAGGUUUAGCAUUGUAACUGUCUCUUUCAUUGGUGUUGGCCAUAGUGUUUUUCUCACGCUGGAUCUCUCUACACUGUUAAGCGUUUGAUUAGAAAAUCAAUAACAGAAUCAGGCUCUGAUACCAAUUGAAGGUAGAGAAAAACAAGAAAGGGGGUUUGAAUUGUUUUGGAAAAUAAAAACUUUUACAGAAUUUAGACACACACAAAAUAAAAUUGUGACACAGAAUUUUAUACUGAUUCGCUUGAAAUUCAAAGCUACUCUAGUCCACCUGGCCAAGAUGAUUUUGCCUUCAAAAAGGACUUAAUCCACUAAUCUGAAAGAUUACACAAACAACCGUCUAAGAGAAUAAUCCCUUAGUCCUCUCAAGUAUUCAGACUGCACAAAGUCACUUGAGGAAAUAUCUUAGCAAAAAUAUAUGAUUUGUAAUGCAAUGUGCUUCUAACAAAAUGUAAAUAUUACAGAGUUACAAGAGCAACAGUUUUUCACGUAAGAGCAACAACUCGUGAAAACGUAAGAGAGAAUGAAUGAGAGUUAUUGUAUUCUUGUGUGUCUCAGGUGUGUUCUCUUAUGAAGUAUUUCGUCCGUUAUAUAGGCGUUGAGAAGAACCGUUUAAGUGAUGACAUAAUCUUGGUCAUUGAAGAAUGUUUAUUGUCAUUACUCUCCUUGUUUUUUUUUCUAAAACCGUUGUGUGCGCGUCAUACUUUCCUUCUAGAAAUAAUUUCUUUCCAAAACCAGAUUUCUUUAUGGUUACGCGUUCUGAACUGGUGACUAUGUAUCGGAGUCUUGGUAAGUCAGAGUUUAACUUCAGAGGUUGCUUUUAUCUGACCACAUCAGAGUUUCUCUAUGCUCUUGACUUCUUCAAAUUCAUAGUCUGGAUUCAAUCUUCUUUACCAGAGUUUCUGACUUCUUUCUGUUUUGCUGGUACCUGCGUUGAUCCGAGUCAGAACCUUCUAGACGCGUUUCUUCUGAGCAGCAUCUGAUUGUUAGAUUCUGUAUCUGAUGUUUUUAUCUAUUUGAUUGUUUGAUUAGAGUCCUGCACACUUAAGAAAAAUUUCGUUAGAGUACCAUUUUUGUUUCAUCCUUUGUUAUCAUCAAAAUCUUAGAUAUACAUUGUAGAACCAACUUUGUUCUUACAAACCUCACUGUAACACUCAAUCUCUAUGCAACGGUCAAUCUCUCUACAACAUUAUGUCUCUAUUGACUAUGGGUGAUGAACAUCAAGGAACAAUCGAUAAUAUUGCGACAUUUGUAUGUUAUUACUUAAUUUAUAUUGUUUAUUACUUAUUCUUAUUCUUAUUUCGUAAUAAAAUGUCUCUAUUAUUUAUAACUUCUUCUUACUUAUGUUUUAUUAGGACCUAAAGAGAUUUCAAUAUCGUGUACAUGAAUAUGUACCACACGAUCCUUUGAUAAAACCAUAUAUUCGAGGAUGCGGUUUUUGUAAUCUACUUAACAUAGUCUCAUACUCGGUUGACAACAUAUUUAUUCUUGCUUUGUUAGAGAGAUGAAGAUCCGAGGCCCACACAUUUCACCUUCCUUUCGGAGAGUGUACCAUCACACUUGAGGACGUCUACAUGUUGUUAGGUAUACGUAUCGAUGGUAAGACCGUAAAUGGUAGAGUUAACCAAGAUAACUCUAUAUGCGAUGAAUUGUUGGGUGCCCCUUUGUGUGAAAACACAACUACGUGAGAGACUUCUGGUCAAGAUAGGGGUCAAGGUAUUAAUUUAAAAUAUUUUAAAUAAUAUUAUGCAAGUAUAACAUUAAACGAAGAAUCUACAGAGUAUGAAAAGAUAAUUAAAACUCGGUGUUAUAUUAUGAUUCUAUUUGGUAAUUUUUUAUUUCCUGAAAGUACUGGUAAUACGGUAAAUAUUACGUAUUUGUCGUUGUUACGAAACAUAAAUAGGGUAAGCACAUAUAGUUGGGGUUCAACUGUUUUGUCUCAUCUAUAUAGUUCGUUGUGUAAAAAUGACAAAAAAAAUACUUGUACGUUUUAUUCUUGCGCCUAUUUGCUACAAGCAUGAGGUUGGUCAAGACUGUUGUCACUUGCCCCCGUUAACAAGAAGUCAUUCACAUUCCCCUUUGCAAUAAAGUAAGUUAAAAAUUUUAUCAUCUAAUUUAUUAGACUUUAUACUACAAUUAACUUUAAAUAAUAUUUUUCCAAUCUUUUCGAUCUAGGUGGUCAGUGAAAUGGAUGAACUAUAACAAGUGUCCCAAACACGCUGUAGUAGUCUAUCACAAUCUUUUAGACCACAUUGGACCAGACAAUGUAAUACUACUACACAACUAUAUAUUUGAUUUAAAAAAAAUCAAUUACAUAUCAUUUAAUCAUGUCAUAUUAUUGUACAGUUUAUCUGGAGGCCAUAUUUGAGUCUUGAUUAUCAGGUUAACCAUGAUGAUGAUGCAGUUUGGACAGCAAAACACUAAUUAUCCGAUUCACUACCUUGGAAAUGCACCAGAGUGACUGUGUAAAACUGCAGUUCGGCAUGCAAUAACAAAUUCCCAAACUUCUGACAUAUUUAGGAGAUUGUCAUCAACAAAGAGUCGAUGGCCAAUGAGAUUAUUCCGACUGGAGAGACUUCGCAAAAGAGAUGUGUCGUCAUUGGAGGAAUCAACAACAACACAUCUUAAACGAACUAGUCAUAUAUGGUGCUAGACCAACUCAACAUUAUAUGACAUGGUUUAGGUCGAUUACAACGCCACAACUUGUGUCUGAGUCAAGGUAUUUGAUUGGUCCAAGCUAACAAGCUUCAUCAUCAAAUGACCAACAACAAAUUCCCGCCCAAGAACAAUGUCAGUCCACCCAAACCCAACGACCAACCUCACACCAUCGCCCUGCCAUAUACACUCAACCACCAAACAUCCAACCUCGCAACUAACUCAUGCCACACACCCAAACUCAAAACCAGGUAUCAAACCCUAACCACUAACAACCAUACACAUCCACCACAACAAUCUAUAACCCAAAUGAUUCAUUCGAUUCAGCAUCAUGCCAUCGUAGCCCCCCACCAAUGAACACCCAAACGUACAAUCGCCACAACACCCAACCAUUGUUUGACUUUAGUACACCACAAAACCAUUGCUUCAUUUCCAAAACGGUUCAAUGUCCCAGAUCGGGAAACCAUACCGUCCAUAAUCCACCCAACCACAACGACCCAACUACGACAACAUGGUCACCAAACUCAAUUACGGAAGCGUUGUUGGCGACAACCCCCCAUCUAUUAAGGACAAAUGAUGACAAAUCUAUCAAAUACCGCUGGACCUUCCACCAGACCUUCACACCAGCCACCAUUGCAUCAUGUCAGCACUCAAAGACCCCAAACACCUUAGGGAAAUCAUGGGAGACCUCGAACACAAGCUAAAGCACCUAGAUAUGGAACAUAGGGCGUUUCAAUCGGGCGAAUCAUUGAUUUUCUUGUCAAUUUUAUGUAUUUUUACUUUAUAAUAUAAUAUAAUUUUUAAUUUAAGUAUUUAAUUUAAGUAAUUAUAAAUAUAAAAUAUAAAAAAAAUGAAAAGUGCAUGCGGAACAUGCAUUGGCGCAUACGCUGAUGUAGUGUAUGCAUGCGCCAAUGCUUGUGGUUUCAAGGCAUGCAUGCACCCAGGCCAUUGACGCCUAUGCUCAUCUCCAAUGCAUGCAUGCGCCAAUGGCUUGGGCGCCUCCUCUGAAUGCGAAUUAGAUGCGUCAGUUCAACUGACGCAUCAGUAAUGAAAGGUGGUUAUUUCAGUAAUUAAUUUAAAAAAUAUGUUAUUUUAGUAUUUAAUUUGAAAACGAUUAUUAUUUUUAAAAAAAUCAAAAUAGAGAAGUUGGGUCAAAAACAUGAUUGUGAGAAGUAGAUGAGGGAAGGAGUAAGAGAGGAUUAAGGUUGGAUAAUAAUUAUAAUGAUUAAUGGAAUUACCCUAAAUAUAUUAUUAUUAUAUUUAAUUAUUUUAUUAUUAUAAUUAAAAUAAUAAGAGCAAAUAGAAUUUGAAGGGGAAGGAAAAUGUGAGAAUUUUGUGAAUAAGCGAGGGUAGAAGGGAGAAAUUCAAUUUUAGGGUUUUUGUUAUUAUAAAAAGGAAGUUGAGAGACUAUGAAGGGUUUUCUAUCCGAAAACAUAGAGGGAAAUACUAGAAUAAGGGAUUGAGAAAGAGAAGGCAAAGAGGUUAAGAGAGAAGAACAUUGUCAUACGGUGAACUGACUUUUGGGUGUUUUGCUUUUUAUCGCAAUGUCGCGGAUAGCAAGAGUCGCCACCGACUUUUCUUUUAUCCAAUAAGGAAAGGUGGAAAAGAGACAGAAAACUCAUAGAAUUUGUUCGGAGGUACAUUAACAAAAGGAAAUAUUAGCACCCUUUUACCAUGGUACCAUGCUCUAGGCGGAUCACUAACUUGUCGAAAAGUGUGCGAAUUUGUUAAAAAGUUGAAAGAGAGUUAACUUGGGAUACCGAUAAUGUUACAAAUAAUUUCCAGUAUUGAAAAUGUAAAAAUAAACUCGGUAAUCGGACAGAAGUUAACAGUGUGAAUUCUCUGAUUGUCAAUGUAAAGGUAGGAGAUGAAUUAUAGUAUAACUAAUGAGAUUAUCACUCCUAUGUCGAUGAACUCCUACCUUAUGAGGUAACACUGUCCUUUAUAUGAAAUAAGAAAUUUACCAUGGCAUUUAAUCGGUCACCGGAGGUCAUCGGACUAGUUCAUUGAAGCAACAUAAAGGAUACCUUAGCAUUUCGACAGACGACUCAUACAUUAACCGUAGCUACCCAGAAGGGUCGAGACAAAGAUGAUUUCAGAUAAGGGCGAACACCAGGAACCAUGAUUUAUGAUAUUUACACAAUCGGAAGUUCUUGGGCAAGUGUAACCCCUACAAAUUCGCGGAACAUGAACCAUAUCCGUAAUCCAUCGUGGCAGCAAAAUGAGGCCAAACUGACACUUAUUAAAGUCAUAUUAAAGCUAAUUAGUGAUGUAUGAUUGAAUCUACCUAAUAUAAAAUCAUACAUUAAAAAUAACUACAUUUAAAAUAAACAUUAAAAUAAUUAUUAAUAAUUAUUAAAAUAAUUAUUACAAAUUAACUACAUAAAUUAACAAUUUAAGGUACCUUUAUAAAACCCUAGCAAAUGGAAUGACCUAAAGUCGGUCUUUCGGACACAAAAACCUUCAAAUCAAUUCAAAAAAAAGAAUGCCAAAAAAGCAUCUGCAAACGACACAAGCAGUAUAUAGAUCAAAUAUAAAUCAUUAUUUUUUCCUGCGAAGAGAAAGCCUAUGAAUGAAGUCAUAAAAUGUAACUACUGCGCUACAUACGGUUCGCCCGCCUACUAUUUAUUUUUGAUUAAAAUUAAUAAUUAAUAAGUAAUUAUAAAAAUCAUGCUCUCUAUAGAAGAGCAGGAGCUGAGAAUCCGACGAGAAUAACUCGUCGCAUGCGUUCUUAACGAUGGUUCUUUUGCUUAGCGACGCUGCGGUUUGAAUUUUCAUUAUUCAAAAAAAUGAACAAUAUCGAACUUCAUAACUAAAAAUUCGGCAUGGCUCAAUGGCAUCUGCAAAAAAUUAAAUUGGUAUGCAGCUCAUUCAUCUACAAAUAUUCCAUGGCACUUAUUAAAUGUCACAUGCAUAAACUCCCAUAUAUUUUAUGAUAUGCAAUUAAAUAUCACAUCAAUUUAGAACAUAAAGCGCAUCACAGCAAAUUAAGAAAAUACACGACGAAAAUAAUUGCAUAACCUGUUGCAUGAAUGAAUUGCAACCUUGUCCAUGGCGACCGGAUUUGAGAUGGCCCCUCCCCUCCUGACGUGUAAUCUUCAAUGGAAUCGGCUCAGGGGUUCUUCAAAUACCCUCUAACCCCCAGGGUUCCGCGCAGGUUCACUUUUAUGUUUGCGUCUCCUUUUUAUGUUACUAGAAUGUGCUGGUUAGAUGAUGUUCUUUUCUCCAGGACUAAUGGGCUCGGACUGAAGCCCGAAACUUUCUGUUCUGUCAGCUUCGCUAGGUCGAGCUGGUAGGCAACGUUUGCUUCGCUAUCGAGGUACUAACGUCUCGAGCGAGCUGUAGCGAACAGUAACGUUCGCUAGGCGACGCGCGAGCGAACAGCCAUUUUGGGCCAUUUCCGGAUUGGCCAUUCGUGAAGCCCGGGCCUGCGGUUCCUCUUUGGAUGUAUUGCCUUGUGGAACAUAGUCGGAGUCGUGGAAAACUGUUUUGUAAUACCACGGGAAUUUUGGGAAAGACAUGCCUCCUGUCCAAAUUAUCUUGAACCGAGAAGUUAAACGGGAGUAAGCGUUCGUUGGUCUGGAGGUGAAAAAUAAUAACUAGAUGCCCAACAAUUGCGCUGUCCCAUUACUCAUGAAUGGCUUAAGAGCAAUGCAGAGGUCGAUUGAGAAAUUCCAAGAUUGUGUCGGGUAUCGAGAGCAAUGUCUAAGAAUGACCAUAUACGGGUCAGCGCAGACCGUAUAGUGAAACAUUCACAGCCUUAGACUUCCGCGGGAUCAGAGUAAUCAUAGCUGCUGGGUGAUAAGAUCAGAAGGAUCAUACAACGAACCAUACUCUGACAGAGUGAGCUGUUCGUUAGGCGAUAUUUGCUGAUUUAAAAUUCAGAACAAUCGUGACGCGAGACGUCGGCUCUGAAUGCAACAAAACCUCCGUUAGGUCUGAAUCUGCUUGAAAGGAGAGUCGUUACCAGACCUACAUUCAGAAAUUACUGUCCGAAGUCAGCAUCUGAAAAGGUAAGCCGUAUCCAGACUACCAUUCAAAUGACCGUCCGAAGUUCACACCUGAGCAAAGACGGGAGUAAGCCGAUACAGAGCGACCAUCAGGAAAUGUUAUCCUGCCGAGGAUAGCACGAGGCACGGGGAGUAGCCUAUACCAGACCUACCAUUCAGAAAUCUAGUCGUCCGACAGGUAGCAUUCUAGGAGAAGUAGCCGUAUACUAGACACCAUUCAAAAUGUCCCUAUCCGAAGGUAAGCAUCGAGGAAAAAAGGUCUAGACUUGGUCGACAUAAACCAUUAUCAGUUCCCGGACUGAUGACGCUAACUUGGUUCUCAUUACAUAGACGUACUGCAGAACGAACUAAGUCUAACUGUCGUACAUUAGACUGAUUGCAGAUCACUUGAAAGUCUAACUUGGUCGUGCAUUUAGAACCUGAUCUUAGUGGUAUUUGAAGAUUUGAACGUCUAACUUGUCGUACAUUUAGACUGUAUCUGAUAAUGAAGUCAAAUGGAUCGUGACGCUAGAAUCGAUCUCGAUUGAAGGAGUCAUAUGUUAAGAUGAAUCAAGAUGCAUAGACCGGAACGCUAGUUCAAUUCUUGAUAUAGUGUAAUGCUGUAAUUUUGCAAUAAUCUGGGAUUGGGCUAUUGAUAAGUAGAUGCCAUCGUUAGAGAUUCAGAAUUGAAUGUUUGUGUCAUGGAUGUACUGAAAGAUUAUUGAAUCUGAAUGUAAUUGAUAAGGAUGUCCGUCGAAUGUACCUUUGUUUUUACAGUCAGGAGGUAUAAUGACCUGAAAAUUAAAGUUAGCUCAACUGCUCCAUGUAUGAAUGCAUAUGAGAUGCCAAACAUGUGGUAUGGCAAGCGAAAUGAUGUACGAGUGAAUUAUGCGUCCUGAAUACAAUGAGAAGCAUUGUAUACAUUGUAUAUGUAAAAAUGAUGUACUUCCAUAUAUAGACGGAUAGGAAAUUCGUAUGUAGUAGGGAUUGGAAAUGAGUCACUAUGUCGAAACGUUCUUCCAGGGGAUCUACUGGGAAAAAAUCUCACUUCGUCGGUAGAUAUUUGUAUGAACCCUCCUAGCAGGUGUACUUUGACUCGUUGAUGGUAAUUAGAUAUCCAAUUCCGAUCCUGCUAAGAGUGAAAGAUGACCAGUAAGAUCGGUUCCUUUUCGACACUCGCUGGCAAGUCUACUGGUUCUGUUGCGGAGAUGUACAGGUCCAGGGGGUGUAGUAGUGCCAAAGGACAGCACUUUGAAUAGAAUUAGCAACAGAUUCAUGGUGAAAGCAAGAUUAGACCCUUCUCCACUCGAUCCUGAAGUCGUGUUAUAAUGCUAUUUACUAUGGCUAUGCAGUAAACUUUUUGAUAAACAUGGAUCACUAGCAAAUGCAUAAUCAAGUCAAUAAAUCACAUGGACGUUACUGGCAAACAAAACAGAGAAAGUAAAACAAAGCAUCUCUUUUGAAAUAAAAUGUAUGAUUGCAAGAGGGCCUAUAAAUAUGGCAAUUGACUUACACCAGGAGACAGAAACAUCCUAAGUAAGAGGAAAUUGUCAGGCAAAUAAGCCAGAAGCUAUGAGGAAAAAGUCCUGUGAUUAAAUUCCAUCUACUUCGAUUAAUGUCUCAACCUUUCAUGCCUCCUGCUUGCGGACUAAAGUUAUGCUGUUAUUCCUGAAGCUUGUAAGCAACAACGAACCGGGGCAUAGUCAUGACCUUUAAUCCUCAUUGCCUGGACCUGCUUUUCACAGGUUUCAUCACUAGGGAAUAUCACCCUUUUUUUGCUCAUGCGCCUUUUUCAAGGUUUUCGAUUCCGGUUAGUCUUAAUUUUUAUCCCUAAUUUUUUUGCGUGCUCGACCUUUUUGGUUGUCACGGAUGCCCUACUUGUCCUAGGUGAACGUGCGGACCUAAGGGUCUCUUUUAUCGUAUAAUUUUUUUAACUAAUUCAAGCUGUUCACAGGAAUGCGGGAACCUUCGCCACCAUUGUAGCAAAUCAUGCUCCACAGAGAAUACCGUCUUCUAAACUACAAUGGCCCCUUAAAUGUCGUGUGGGAGUUCCAUUUGUCCUCUAGGAUCAACUUGUGGUAGAAUGAUACGCUUGACCACGCAAGCGCCAAGUGUGUAGCUACCUGUCUCUCUGAGCCUUUUUGUUAUGCUGGGUCAUUCGCUUCUGGAUAUAUCUGCCUAUGAACAAACAGCCGCAAGUCUCUUUUCAUCAAUCACGAUUUACUGAUCGACGUCGAGUUUGAAUCCAUUCAUCCUCAUAUAAGCUGCAUCUUCUUCCGCAAUCUAGAGAGGGAAUCUGACUCACUAGGUAACACGUACUCCAUUCCAUAGGACUAAAGAGAAAGGGGUGCCCUUCGAAGUGCGUAACAACCAUCGAAGAGCAAAAAGGUAUACAUCUUCAUGCAGUCUUUGUAUUUACUGUGUUAAUAUUCUGAUAUGUUAGCAGCCUCCAACUGCGCGUUGUUUCUUGGCCCUGGUACGGUGAGAAUGAAGUUAUGUGCUUAUUUUGAAUUGCGUGUAGAGUGUCAAGUUUAGUACCAUGUAUCAGUGAAAUGUACAUCUCCAAGGGAGACAGCAGGUUCUCCAGUAGAUAUUAUAGAACCAUCUUAGAAUAUCAAUUAAAGUGUAGAUUCAACAUAUACUGUUUUAGCGUUUCGAUCAAGCUAAGCCAAAGCACAGUAAGCUUCUUCGAGCUGUGAGAUUCUGUUCACAGUUCAGGUUACCUGUUGCUAAGGCAUUGUAUUGGCAUUGCUCUUUCGCUCCAUGACCGCAGUGCUCCCAUGCACAGUCUCGCAUUUAAUUUCUAACAGGUCAAAUACAAUAUUAAGGGUUAGCCUUCAACGUAGAAUUAGAAUUAGAGGUUCUGGAGAUAUUCCUGAUUUUUUAUUCCUCAUUCCAUUCAUCUCUUAAUUUCUUUUGGUAAUUUGACCGAUGGUUUGCAGGUAGCAGUCAAAUGUGGGAUGAAUCGGCAAUGUAUUAUAUCGAGGCCCCAAAAACUCUGACUCUGCUUGUCUAUUCAGUACCCAAUUGCAAAUUUCAAUCUGAAUAUCCUCUCGCGGCUUUUUAGUAGGGUCUUUUCUUCUGUCGUAAUCGUCUGACAAUUUCACCAGGACUCACACUGCCUCGCUUCCAUCCUCUGCUUGUAGAUCUAUCGGUUAUUUUUCAAAGUCAUAACUGAUACAGUAGCAAACUAUUAUACAACAUAUCCAGAGUGUAUAUGGAUCGAAAACUGUUACUGCCUGUGUGGCAAGAAACAUAGCUUGUUUGAAAAAAAAAUGUAAGAAAAAUAAAGAGCGUUCAUUUUGAAAUGCAAAAAUACGCUCUAGCAUCGGACUGGCUUCCUUGAUAGGAGCUGCAUUAGGUCGAAUAUGACGUGAGACUCGGAAGAGACUUAGUUAAUUGAGAAUCGCGACAAUAAACACUUGAUAGACGGAAGAUGCUAGCGUUCUGUGCAUCCUGGUUAUAAAGAUCGUAUCGCGUGCGAUCCUCUUAUCGACUAGAGGCUUGAUACGCUUAUACAUAGAUCUUAGCCAAUCAAAGCAUAGAUAACAUGUAUGCGCGCGGAGAGGCAGCCUAUGCGGCGAAGAGGUCAGGAUCAGAGGAAAUGAUGAUAGCGGAGCGUGGACGGCGGAGAUGAUCGAGGUAGAGUCAUGCCGCCCAUAGCACCUGAUGUUCAGCUGCUUGCCAAGGACUCGGAGCCUCGGAGAAUGUUCCCUAUAGAAUUGAGUGUGCGGUGUCACGGAGAGGUUCAGGCUAGAGAUUAGGAUAUAGGAAAGAUUCACUAGCUAUCCAGUCGCAUAUCGUUAUAAGUCUUAACAGCAUUGACAGCUCGUCUUGAUUUAGGCAGAGGACAGUGAUGACAUUAGGCAGUCCUCCGGAGGAUCAGAGUAGUCGCUGUAUCUUCCACUUUCGAUUAUGUCCACUUUCAACGUGUUCACUCCUGUUAAUAUAAGUCAUGGCAAACCCAAUGAUGAACUCCCAAAUGAUGCUUAAAUUGGGCGUUAGUUGGUGCCAUGAAACAGUCCACUAACUCUCUGUCAUAGCAGGUGGGUUACUCUGCCACUCAACUCUCACUUUUGAUCAUAUUCUUUGAAACUUUCUUUAGAUCCCAAGUCAUAUCUGCAACGUACCGAGGUAGGUGCGCUAGUUUCAGAAUUACUGGGUACUGCUUUGUAAGAAAAUCAUUCUAAUCAGUCCCCAUUGGUGUGGAUGUCAUGCCUCUCGAGUCGAUAAUACCUACUCCAAUUGUGUGCCUCAGAUUUCUGUCUUUUUUCUCUCGACAAGAGAGCCUUCAGUUCUUCUGCCCCCUGGAUAAGUUCAAGAUUUUUCUGGAGUUGAGCAUUAUGAGACUGGAGUCUUGACAUUUGUUCGAGGUCCAUUUUUCUGUGUGGAGAAAACCGUGAGAACACUGAUCCCUUAGAGUACCUUGUUAUGCUAUGUUAUGCUAUGCAAUGCAUGAAUGUUUCAGGCCUUUUGAAUUAACUUUGCAUAAACUACGAAAAGGGAAACUUUUUUUUUGUUUUUUUUUUUGUUUUUUUUUGUUUUUUUUCAUACAAAACAGAGCAAAGUUAAAUCCCUAAGUCCUUGAAAUGGUUAGUACAAUGUUAUGUUCAUGUUUUAGAAUGUUAUGAGGUUAAAUAAAUAACAAGCACACAAGCAAGUCACACAACCAUCAUUCUAGGUUUUAAGGCUUGCAUGAGUUCCAUAGGUAAGUACUCCCUCCCACUGAAGUUUAGUUGGUUCAACCUGUCCUAGAAUAGUAACCGGGUUCUAAAAGAUCUCCAAUCAUUGACCUUCCUUCAAGUCCACUUCAGUGCAACACCAAGUGGUUGACCGAAGCUCCCUAAAGUCCAAUCUCAAAGAGUGUAGUAUCGAGUCUCAACCACCCCAGUCGGAACCGAGUCAGUUAUCUCACUACUUUCUAAUGCUGAGGAUGAGUCAAUUAGGGUUCUAAAGGUCUGGUUAAUGCUUUGAUGACACCACGCAGAUGCAAAUUUUUCCUCAAGAAACAUGAGGAAAUCAGGACACCAAAGUGUCACAUUAACCGUAGCCAUCAUUUUAACCAUUCCAAGUAUACGCCGGAUAGUCGCGAUGAUCUAUUGCUACUUACCUAAGGUACACUAGAUCGGGUGGUAGGAUCUUUCACUCAAAAUACCCAAGCAAUCCUUAAAAGUAAAUUAGACAAUUGGAAUAGUGACUGUUUUUAAGGUAACCUCUCUUUUAAAGUAUCCCCAGCAGAGUCGCCAGUUCGUGCAUACGGUGAACUGACUUUUGGUGUUUGCUUUUUAUCGCAAUGUCGCGAUAGCAAGAGUCGCCACCGACUUUUCUUUUAUCCAAUAAGGAAAGUGGGAAAAACAGGAAAGACCUCAAAUAGAUUUGGGUUCGAGGUACAUUAUACAAAGGGAAGGGUUAGCACCUUUGGUAUCCAUGUUUAUCCAUGGGCUCUAAUUGCUGGAUCACUUAUAUUUUUUUCUGAAAGUGUUGGUGAAUUGUUUAGAAAUGUUUGAAGAGAGAUUAACUUUGUAAGAUCUCGUAUGAAUGUAUACAAAGUAUUAUCUCAUUUGAUUUUGAAAAUGGUUUAGAAAAAUAUAAUCCGGUAAUGAUUCAUAGAUAUGUAUACCAAGUGUGAUUUUCUAGAUUUGUAAAGUGUAAAGUGUGAGGGAUGGAAAAUGUUUAGGUUAUGAUCCAGUAAUUGAGAGUUAUAUCCUUCCUGAGUCGUUAUGAACGUUCCUAUCCUUAUGAGGGUAAAACUGUCCUACUAUUGAGAAGUAAGUAAUUUUACCCUUUGGAUGUUAAGGGUCACCGUAGGUCACGAUAGGUCAUUGAAGGCAACAGUUGUAAGGAAACCUUAGCAUUCGAAGGGACGAUCAUCAUUUAACGAGGCUACACCGAAGGGUCAUCGAGGGACAAAAUCGUAUUUUCGAAGGCAACAUCCGAGGGACCAUGAUUUAUUUUAUGAUGAUUUAAUCGAAGGUCUUUGCUAAGUGUACUCCUACAUUCGCGGGACAUGACCUUAUAACCGUAAUACCGUAAGGCAGCAAAGAGAGGUCCAAGAUCACUUAUUUAAAGGUCAUUUUAAAGUUAAUUAGGUGAUAAUGAUGAAUCUCCACAUAAAAUCAAUACAUAUAAAAUAAUACAUUAAAAUUAAUACAUUAAAUUAAUUAAAAUUAAUUAUUAAAAUAACACAUUAAAAUUAAUAAGCAAUUUAGGGUGAGCCUCCACAAGGGUAUCCACAAAUAAAGUGGAAGACCUACACGGCGUCUUUUUUCUGGGACAAUAUGAACCUUUGCAAAAUUCAACCAAACGGGUUAGCAAUACCAAAUCAAGGGUGCAAUCAAAGAUUGCACCGCAAAAGAAAUCACAACAGUAAUAGGAUCAAAUAAACAAUGCCUGGCUUGAUAAACAUGAAUGAAAAAGUCAAAACAGAAAAGCUGGCUACUAUCAGGUUCGCCGCCGCCUCGCCUAGCGAAGGCUUAGCGAAUACUCGCUGCAUGCUCGCUUAGCUGCUGUGCUAGCGAGCGCUGCGGGUUUGAAUUUCAGAACAGUAUGACUUCAAACCUGCGGCAUGGCUCAUGGCAUCCAACACAUAAUAUAUGGUUCAGCAUUCACAAUAUCCAGGCACAUUUAAAUUCACAGCAAACCUCAAAUAUGUUAUGAAUUCAAUUAUAUUAUCACAUGCAAGUUAAGAACAUAAAGCGGCAUCACAUGCAAUUAAGAAAAUAACACGAAAUAUAAUGCAAACAUGUUUGCAAUCGAAUUGCAACCUUGAAUGGCGAGCCGGGAUUGAUGGGCGCGGUAGCUUCGGGCGGGAAGCGGCCUUCAGGGUUUCUUCACUCGAAACUCUCUAAAGUAGCCCUCCAGUGUUCCGUGCCAGGGUUUCCGUCCUCUUCCUCUGUUUUUCGUCCCCUUUUUGUUACUGAAGUGCUGGUAUUUAUAAUGCUUUUUCCAUGACCUAAUGGGCUCGGGAGUGAAGCCCGAAAUUUCUGUUUCUGUCAGCUUCGCUAGGCGAGCUGGUAGCGAACUUUGCUUCGCUAGGCGAGCGUGUAGCGAACAGGCCAGUUUUGGGGCCAUGUUCGAUUUGGCAUUCGUGAGCCGGGCCUUCGUUCCUUUGGGAUGUCAGUGCCUUGUGGAACAAGUCGGAGGGUCUUGGAAAAUGUUUUGUAAUAUCAACGGGCAAAUUUUGGGGUAUGACAAACAUCAAGGAAUAAUUUUUCAAUCACUGCUAGGAUAAUCAGGUAAGGGGAGAAAAUUGAUUCAAAAACGGAUAUAUGCCUAAGGGGUAGAAUUGAGGAGUCUUUAACCUCCUAUAGGAUGUUGUUUGAAUUCUGAAAUUGGUGAUAAUGUGUUGUUAUGUGAUGAAUUUAAUGAUCUAAUUCAUGUACUAAUUUGUGUUAAAUAUUCUGUUAUGAGUUAUUUUUGUCAUUAUGUCAUUGUCGAUAUUUUGAAAGUUUUGAGAAUAAUAUGAUUGUGUGAUAAUCCAUGUUUAGAAUGGAGUGGAGAUAAGUUUGGGUCGAAGAAAUUGAGUUUAGGAGUGAAAUUUUCGUAAGGAAAUCGCAGAACAAUGCAUGAGAGUGUUGAUCGUCUUAUUUCAGGCAUAACUUGAGUUUCAUAAAUCUUUCUGGGAUGCCAUCAAUUGCGUUAAAAAGAUAACUUAAUGAUCUUUCAAACUGAAGAGUUUCAUUUUUUUUAUCAUGAGUAUAUAAUAUUUCGUGCUAUUUUAAAGUCAGACAUUUUGUUUUAGAGUUUAAGCAGGAAAUAUUCGUGAUAGGGCUUAAGUGAAACAAAUUGAACUAGAGUUUUGUAACUCUUUUUGAGACGCAAUUAAGUGCAUUUGAAAUAGAGUUUAAUGAUAUUCUCAACUGUAAAUUUUCAUAAUUUUCUCAUUAAGUAUAUAAUUUUUGGCGUCAUUUUAAAGUCAGGCAAAACACUCUGUCCGAUACGAGUAUCGUUCUUGUUGUUUGAUUAAAUUGGACCUAUUGGUGUAUUAAAUCAUGAAAUAAAAAUCAUAUUCUUAAAAUAGACUCUCUAAGUUUUCUGGAACAUAUUCAUUUGCUUGAUUAUAAUUUUGUUUGCUAUUUAAAAUAAUUAUUAGAAUAUGAUGUGUGUCUGGUAGAAAAUAUGAUUUUGGGAUGAGAUUGUUCCAUGAGUUUAGAGUUGUUAUUGAGUAGUCUUGAGAUGUUUAGAGUUCUGAGAGUAUAAUUAGUAGUUGAAUAUGUUUUAGAGUUGCAUUUGAGCAACUCUAAUAAGUUUUAGAGUGAUAUUGAUAAGUUUAAGAGAGUGAUUUGUUACCUAAUGGUUAUUACCCUAUUGAUAAUGCGACACAAGUAAUAAUAAUAAUGCGUUACUCUAUUGAUGAGUUUAAAGUUAAGUUAUAAGAGUGAGAUUUGUUACCUUAGAGUUGUCAAAAGUUACUAUUUGAGUAAUUCUGAUAUGUUUUAGAGUUGAGUUGGUAUGUCAUAGUGUUAAUGAUUAUUAUCCUUUUAAUGACCUGACACAAGUAAUAAUAACAUUGAGUUAUUCUAUUAAUGAGUUCAGGAUUAAGUUAACUAUUUUGAGUUUUUUUGAAUUGUGCAAGAGUUGUCAAUUGAGUAUUUUAGAUUACCGUGGAGUACUUUAGGGGUAAUUUAGAGUCAUAUUUUUAUUUGUUUUGAGUAACUCUGACAUAUUUAGAGAGUUGUUUUUGAGUCAUUUAGAGUCACAUUCGAUGAAUUUUAUUUUAUUUAAUAAUAAUAAUUAUAAUUUAAUAUUAUAAAUUAUAAUAUUUUAGAGUUGAGUUGCAUAUAUUUUUUUUAGAGUUGUCGAUAUAGUUGUUAGAACAACCAAUUAAGUUCAUACAAGUUAUUUUUAUAAGCAAAAAUUGGCAGUAGAACAUUUUUGAGCACCUUAGAGUUACUUUAGAUAGAGAUCGUUGUCGAGUUGUUUAGAGUUCCUUGGGAACUAUGUUGAUUAUAAUUAUAUAUUGUUAUAAUCUUUGAUGAGUUAAGAGUAUAUAAUAAAUUAAUAAAAAUACUUUGUUGAGACGUUUUGAGCAUGUAUAUUUGGUUUUUGAGUUUUGACUAAUAAUACAACUUUAUUCUAUUAUUGAUAAUUUUUGAGUUAUAAUAUAUUUAUUGAAUUUAAUUAUAGGAUGAUGUUGUGUUAACUUAUGUGAAUUGUGAUGAUGAUAUUAUGUUGUGUAAGCAUGAAUUGUGUUGUUGAACUGUGAGUAUGUUGUUGUGGGAUAAUAGUUCAGAAGGAGAACUAUUAUCGUUGGAUCAAUGCAUCUUUUGUUUAUUAUCGAGUGGAGACUUUCAACAUUAUGUUGUUGUUGCAUUAACGUGUUGUGACAUGCAUUCAUUAUGUCAUUGUUGUUGAUGAAAAUGCAAGUUGCAAUUCGAGCAAGGUGGAUUGGUGACUUGUCCCGAAUCCGAACAAGGUGAACUUGAUUCUUGAGUGAACCAAUUGUUGAUGAUAUGGUACUACAUGCAUAUGAGUCUCGUUGACAUUGUGAGUCUCAUUGCAUAAGUUUUAAAUGAUCGAUGUGUGAUUACGAUGUGUAUGAUGAUGAGCUGGAUGUGAGAAUAUGUUGGUGUGUUUGAUGGAAUAUGCAUAUAGAUGUUUGUGAUUCUAUCUUACAGCUUUUUUCAUUUAUCUUAUUGAUGUGAAUUCUCACCCCAUUGUUGUUGUUGUUGUUGUUUGUACUCCUCUUCGGGGUACAAAUGAGCAGAUAAACGAGUGACUGCUUAAAGCUGGAGGAUGACAUUGAUUCUAUUAUUCUUUUUUCUAUUUUUAUGCGUUUCUAGAUUUCCGUUGCUAUGAUUUGUAAUACCGGGCAGACAAAUAUUUUUUGUUUUAUCAUUAUAUUUUGUUAAUGUAGGAUUAAAUGAUACACUUUCAAUGUUUUGAGUUUUGUUGAUUGCGGAGGGCUGAAGGCUUAUGCCAUGAAUGUUUUAAUUUAAGUAAAGUAAAUUUAUGAGAUUUAUAUUAAUGUGAUGCAUGCUUAGUGUGGAAAUUUCGCCGCGAUGAUACCCUAAGUGAAUGUGAGCAUGCAAUGACAGAUGUAAGUAAAUAUUUUAUUUUAUUGAAUAUGUGUUACAUAACAAAUGUUUUUGAUGAUGAGUAACAUCCUAAAUGUGAAUAUGUGCUUCCUAUAUGAUUUAUUUUAUGUUAUUAAACAUUGUUAUUAAACAUGGGGUUUUAGGGUGUUACAAUAUCAACAAUACUAUUCCAUAUGAUGUAGCGUCAAGAAAAAGACUGAAAAGGUUCAUCUAGAGUUAUCGAUCACGUUCGCUCACGGCGCGAGCGACCACCCACCGCGUGAGAAGAAGGGGGCGGAGCACCGUUUGAAAACGCGGUCGAUAUCGCCGCAAAUGCGGGUCGCGGGUGCGAUUCGCACCUUGGGCGAAGCGGUUUAUCAACUUUUUUUUAUGCGAAAUGAAGAAUAAGAAAUGAAAUGAGAUGAAGUGGUAGGGAAUACAGAGAUAAGAAUGAAGAAGAUGAAGUGGUAGUGAAUACAGGGAUACGAAUGAAGAAGAUGAAGUGGUAGGGGAAGAGGUGAUGUGAUACGGAUAAUAGUAUUAAAUUUCAGUGGGAACAUCACAUAGUGUAUACAGUUGUAUAGGAAGUGGAUGGAUGUACUUUAAUGAUAGUAUCUUUAAUAAUUUUAGGUUAAAUAAAUAUAAUAAAAUAUUUAUAUAACAAAUAAGUAAUGUAUUUAUUAGAUCGAGGGGCUUUAAAGGAACAGUUGUUUGACGUACAAGAACAACAUCUAUAUACCCAUAACUUAAGGUUUUUAAUUUUAAAUUUAUUAUAAAAUAAUGAUUAUUUAAUUCAUUUAAUAUUAUAAUUUAAAGAUUAUUUCAUUUAUUUAUGAUAAUUUUUAUGUAUAUAAUUUUUUAAUUCAUAUAAUUAAUUUAAAAAUUUAUCCCGCUAUCCACUAUCCCGCUAUUCCAUUUUUGAGGUCAACCACUCCGCUAUCCGGGAUUAAUAAUUCUGGGUUCAUCCAGACUCGCUCGGCUGAUGGAUGCUAAAUUAGAAAAUGAGAGGAAGACCAUUUUUGGUAAGUGACAUAGAAAUCUCAUUUUUCUUGGUUGUUUGCUUGAACAACCCUCUCCCACCUCCUUACUUUUCCCUUGCUGGUUGUGCAUAUGCGAUAAAGAGUGAAGAAGCAAUGCAACAGAUAAUGAGGGAUCUUUGAGCUACCUCCCUUCUAACGGGUAUUCCAACCACCCCAUCGACCGAUUGUUCUCCUCCAUGUACACCGACAGAUCCCAUUGUUCAAACUACUUUCCUAUGCUAAAGUAAAAGUUCGAAUUUCACCUAAUCAGACCGCGAUAGAUGAUGUCCUACUCCAUCCGCAUCCAAAGGACACGAGGAUUUGUAUUUUUAACCCUGAACUUGAAGAGCUUCAGAUUGAGAGGUCGCUUACAAAACGUCCAUAACUUGGAUAUGUCGGAGAACAUGCUUCAAUUCAAGCAUAUCAUAUUUUGUGAUGUUAGGUCGUUUUGGCUAAGGACGACCAUGGAAUUCCAUUCUUCCAUUUCAUUAGAUCAUUCUCAUUUUUCAAAAUUUUCCAAAAAACUUACCAUAAGGAGUAAGUGGAGUUAGCCUAUCACGUCCGUCAGACAUCUACCAUCUUUGCUAGACCUAUAUUGGGGGAGGUCUUGUUGUCUAUAAUAAUAAAACGGAAAUUUUAAAAAAAAUCACACAAGAAAUUAAUAAAUAAGAGUAUCUAUAAAACAACUCUUUUAUUUUUAUUUUAGACGUUUCUUUUAUUUAGUUACAACAAAAAUGAAAUUACAAAUUGAAAUUAUAAACAAAAUAAUACAAAAGAAGAAAAAGUCGUCUAACAAAACUACGUACACGCCAUCUUCACAAAAUGAAAAUUAAACAGAAAAAGAAAAAAACAGAACAGAAGGAGAAAUACCCCCAACGGAUGUUUUCACAUUUUGAGCUUCAUCCCAAUUCUUUCCUUCAUUCUUCAUAAACCCUAUCUCCCAUCCCAAUUUACCCCAAUUCGAAUUCAACCAUGACUCAUCACUAACCCAAUCAAAACCCAAAACAUGUAUCUGAAGAAACCACUCUGGAGUGAAGGAAUUGAAACAGAGAAACAAGAUCCAACUGGAUCAUCAGAUCCAAAUGCUUCCGUGGUGGAGCUCGUGAAUUCACUUCAUCAACAAAGGGUAUAUCGUGAAGUUACUCUCGCUCUCACCACCGGUCUCCGAGACGCACGUGCCGAAUUCUCGUUCCUCCGUCUCCGUGCUCUCCGUUCCAUUCUCAAUUUCCUCAAUUCCAUUGUCGAUUCAGAUUCUACUAUUUACCUCUUUAAUCUAACCCAAUCUAUUCCCCAACUUCAAGGUCGAUUUUAAUUCUUCCUCAUUUUCAUUAUCAUUACUGUUACAAUUUCAAUUUUCAGUUUGUUUAUGGUGGUUUUACUUUGAUUACAGUGGUUCCGGUUCUCUUUCAGCACUCGUUAAAGGAAACUGGGGAUGAUCACAAUUACAAUAAGGUAGUAGGUGACAUGAGUCAUAUAUUUGGUGUGGAACCCAUGAAGUUAACUAGUCCAUCUACAGAUGAUGAAAUUGCACUUGCUCUUAGAGUCUUGGAAGGAUGUUGUUUGCUUCAUCCACACAGUACUACUCUUGCUCAUCAACACAAUGCUGUUCAGGUUAUCUUCCUUUUUUUUAAUUCUAUUUAUUUAUUUAUCAGCUUUCAUUUUCACUGAUAGGAUCACAUCAUAACAACAAGUGUAGUUGCAAGUAAUUGACCGGUUGAGAAUCAACUAUCGAUCGCAAAGAUUGAGUGUCAAUUUCAAUGCAAAAUUGAACGGGUAACUAGUUUGAUUUGGUGAGAUAAUUUAGAUAGAAAAUCCAGCGAUGAUAACUACCAUAGAGACCAGUUUCAAUUGAUUUUAAGCUUAAUUAGUUGAUUAGAAAUUAUUAUGAAUUUAUUUUUCGAAUUGUUAGCGAAUUUUUUAUCCUAUCCUUUAGGUAAGAGAACCUUUAAACUAAAUUUAAUUUAAUUCCUAAUUAGGAAUAAACGUGAGCAGAAGUUUUAGAGUGGUUCCAAGCAUCAAAGAUUAUUCCUAGAUCAAACAAGCAAGAACUCUUAAACUCUAGCAUUCAAGGAUUAAACUUCCAUUCAACCAAUAAAUCAUGAAACGUUGUGUGAUGAAGUCGUAGAAAGUAUUAAAAGAAGAGAUAAGAAAAUAGACUCAUGAAGAUCAAUUUAAAUAACAGAGUUUCAAUAGAUUUUCAUCAAUAUCUAUUCAUCUACAACAAAGGGGGUUUAGCGAGACAGAGAAAUAAAACAAGAAAUAAAGGGAGAAGAGGAAUAAUAAGAAUUAGCCAUGGAUGAUUUACAAAGAAAUGAUUUUUGUUGUGUUUCCAACAAGUAGUAUUUGCUAGAACACUGUUCUAAAUGAUUAAGUGAUCAAAAGAUCCCCACAAAAUAUUUAAAAAACGUAUUUAUAGUGAAAUAAGUCAAGUAUGAGGCGCUUAAACUUGUCGCGGGGCACCUAACACUGGCCAAAUCACGAGAACAUGAAAGAAUUGCAGAGCCUAGCACUGUCUAAGCCUUGUAGCUCUGAUGAAGGUAGCGCCUAGCUUUGGCACUAAACACUGUUUGGGACACACAGAUACCUUCAGCAGGUGCCCAGUGCUGGCUCAGGUGUCUAGAGCUCUAACUAGGCAGAGUUUCAUACAUUUGCCUCUCUCAUUCGAGCCUUUCCUUUGAUCGUCUUCCAGAUCUACAAUUAAGCAAUAUGAAAAACAAGUAAAAUGUUCAACAUUUGGACUCAAAGAUAUCCAAGUUUAUCAAUGCAAGUGAAAGACAAUACACAUGACAAAUCAACAAAGAACUAGGUUAAAACAAUAUUUUAGUUUAACGGAAAUGUUGAAAUCCACGCCAAAAGUAGCUCUAGAAUUAGAUGAAUUAUCAAGUAGUACCAAUACUUCUAAUUGAAGAUAUGUGACACCACAUCAACGCAAGUGGUUACAUUUAAUCACUUCCAUUUUCUAAAAUUAUUAUAGGCAUCGACUCGAUAGAAGUUUAGGGUUUAGGGUCUCCUGUUUUUUUGGGUGAAAGCAUAAUUCUUAGAUACAUAACCUGGUUUUUAUUUCUACAGCUCAACUGUUUUGUUCAUAUUUUGUGUAAAACAAGAUGAAACUAGUUACUUUUGAAAAUAUAUAUUAUUAGACAUUGGGGGCCAAGAAAAUCAUUAUUAGAGGGGAGGAAGAAGAAGACACAUUCAUUAGAUAGAAAAAGAAUACUUAAGUGUUAUUUCUAAGUAAAAACCAUGAAAUUGAUUUUAAUUGGACGAUCAAAAUUAAUUGUUUUUCGUUUCUCGUGACACCAAUCUAGUAACAACCAAUCGGUUAUGUAUUUACAUUUUUAGGUAAUACAAUUUUUUUGAAUGCUAAAUAUAAUAUAAAAAAUAAAAGGAGAAGGCAAAUAAUGCCCAAAAAUACAAAAAAGCGGACAAGCAGCGCUACUAGAUGUACCAAGCCAAACCACUACCACCGAAAAAGGAGAGUCAAAUACAAAAAAAUAAAAUACAACACACCACAAAGCCAAAACAUCCUGGAGAAAAGGGAAGAAAAACAAUGAGAGAUAACACUAGAUAUCUAGGAGAAUAGGUUAGAUCUCAUCCUCCAAGAACCACCAUCAACAUAAACCAAAUACACUAGAAAGCUCCAAGAACACUCCAGCAAAGGAGCCGCCGGUGAAGACUCUCGAACCGACAGAAAAAUAGGGUUGCCAAGCCAAUUGGAGAAAGCACAGAAGGUAGUCACAUAGUUGCCUGGAACCAUUUCCAAGUGAGGAAGAACUAAACACCAUCCUAUCCAUUUCAAAAAGUGAAAGGAGAUCACUAGGAAGAACUAAACACCACCCUAUCCAUCUAAAGAUUCUAUACCACAGGGGCUGCCGCCAGCUCACAGGUAACAAACAAAUGGGAACUAAACUCAUCCUCCCCCCACACAUAAGACACCUCACAUCACACCCUCAAGAGCCACAAUAACCCUAUUCCGCAAGAGUUGCCAAUAAAACACCACCACUUUAGAACGCGCUCAACUGCC